GGGCUGAUGGCGGCCGUGCAGCUGGUGGAGUCCGGAGGGGGCCUCCAGACACCCGGGGGGUCCCUCACCCUCCGCUGCAAGGGCUCCGGCUUCACCUUCAGCAGCUUCCGCAUGGAAUGGGUGCGACAGGCCCCCGGGAAAGGGCUCGAGUGGGUCGCGGGUAUUACCAGCAGUGGUGGUACCACAAGCUACGCGCCGUCAGUCAAGGGGCGCUUCACCAUUUCCAAGGACAACUCCCAGAGCACGGUCACGCUGCAGAUGAACAGCCUCCGGGACGACGACACAGCCACCUACUACUGCGCGAAAAGUGCUGAUGCAUUUCUCCUUAACCUCAACUAUUUCUACCCCAAAUCUCAACCGUUUGCACCAAACCCUGACUGA
This is a non-coding RNA of Chroicocephalus ridibundus (black-headed gull), 381 nucleotides long. NCBI's taxonomy places the organism in Eukaryota, Metazoa, Chordata, Aves, Charadriiformes, Laridae. The record is from the annotation of a RefSeq genome assembly.